UCAUAGGUCCUCUCCGGCCUCACAGCCAAU
This 30-nucleotide small RNA is filed under the name Bombyx mori (domestic silkworm). RNAcentral describes it as "ovarian small RNA-7034". Lineage: Eukaryota; Metazoa; Arthropoda; Insecta; Lepidoptera; Bombycidae. The record is from RNAcentral.